GUGGGGAAUUUUGGACAAUGGGCGCAAGCCUGAUCCAGCAAUGCCGCGUGCAGGAUGAAGGCCUUCGGGUUGUAAACUGCUUUUGUACGGAACGAAAAGACUCCUUCUAAUAAAGGGGGUCCAUGACGGUACCGUAAGAAUAAGCACCGGCUAACUACGUGCCAGCAGCCGCGGUAAUACGUAGGGUGCAAGCGUUAAUCGGAAUUACUGGGCGUAAAGCGUGCGCAGGCGGUUAUAUAAGACAGAUGUGAAAUCCCCGGGCUCAACCUGGGAACUGCAUUUGUGACUGUAUAGCUAGAGUACGGUAGAGGGGGAUGGAAUUCCGCGUGUAGCAGUGAAAUGCGUAGAUAUGCGGAGGAACACCGAUGGCGAAGGCAAUCCCCUGGACCUGUACUGACGCUCAUGCACGAAAGCGUGGGGAGCAAACAGGAUUAGAUACCCGUGUAGUCC
RNAcentral lists this ribosomal RNA (450 nucleotides) under uncultured bacterium. RNAcentral's name for it is "partial 16S ribosomal RNA". It matches the Rfam family "Bacterial small subunit ribosomal RNA", at positions 354 to 796 of the family's 1533-position model. The record is from RNAcentral.